AGCUCCAAUAGCGUAUAUUAAAGUUGUUGCGGUUAAAAAGCUCGUAGUUGGAUUUCUGCCGAGGACGACCGGUCCGCCCUCUGGGUGAGCAUCUGGAUCGGCCUGGGCAUCCUCUUGGGGAACGUAGCUGCACUUGACUGUGUGGUGCGGUAUCCAGGACUUUUACUUUGAGGAAAUUAGAGUGUUUCAAGCAGGCUUCCGCCUUGAAUACAUUAGCAUGGAAUAAUAAGAUAGGACCUCGGUUCUAUUUUGUUGGUUUCUAGAGCUGAGGUAAUGAUUAAUAGGGAGAGUUGGGGGCAUUCGUAUUUAACGGUCAGAGGUGAAAUUCUUGGAGCUGUUAAAGACUAAAGACAGACUACUGCGAAAGCAUUUGCCAAGGAUGUUUUCA
RNAcentral lists this ribosomal RNA (388 nucleotides) under marine Metazoa environmental sample. Its description in RNAcentral is "SSU rRNA". It matches the Rfam family "Eukaryotic small subunit ribosomal RNA", at positions 587 to 972 of the family's 1831-position model. The record is from RNAcentral. Lineage: Eukaryota; Metazoa.